UUGCUUUCACAGCACAUAUUCUAAAAUUGGAAUACUAAGAGUGGAUCAGCGCAGACCCUGCAUAACCAUGACACAUAAACUCAGGAAGUGCUCUGUGUUUUA
Small nuclear RNA from Meriones unguiculatus (Mongolian gerbil), 102 nucleotides. NCBI's taxonomy places the organism in Eukaryota, Metazoa, Chordata, Mammalia, Rodentia, Muridae. The record is from Ensembl.